Molecule: non-coding RNA, 113 nt
Filed under: uncultured Mallomonas
Lineage: Eukaryota; Synurophyceae; Synurales; Mallomonadaceae
Source: RNAcentral
AAAGAGAGAGAGAGAAAGAUGGAGAUAGGAUAGAAGGAUUGGUAGUAGGUUCUAAUUGUUUGAUAUCAUUGGAUUCAUUCUCUCUUUCUCUUUCUGGCUCUCCUUCUCUCUCU